AUGAACGCUGGCGGCGUGCCUCAUACAUGCAGGUCGAGCGAACGGACGAGAAGCUUGCUUCUCUGAUGUUAGCGGCGGACGGGUGAGUAACACGUGGAUAACCUACCUAUAAGACUGGGAUAACUUCGGGAAACCGGAGCUAAUACCGGAUAAUAUUUUGAACCGCAUGGUUCAAAAGUGAAAGACGGUCUUGCUGUCACUUAUAGAUGGAUCCGCGCUGCAUUAGCUAGUUGGUAAGGUAACGGCUUACCAAGGCAACGAUGCAUAGCCGACCUGAGAGGGUGAUCGGCCACACUGGAACUGAGACACGGUCCAGACUCCUACGGGAGGCAGCAGUAGGGAAUCUUCCGCAAUGGGCGAAAGCCUGACGGAGCAACGCCGCGCGAGUGAUGAAGGUCUUCGGAUCGUAAAACUCUGUUAUUAGGGAAGAACAUAUGUGUAAGUAACUGUGCACAUCUUGACGGUACCUAAUCAGAAAGCCACGGCUAACUACGU
Molecule: ribosomal RNA, 495 nt
Filed under: uncultured bacterium
Lineage: Bacteria
Description: partial 16S ribosomal RNA
Rfam family: Bacterial small subunit ribosomal RNA
Source: RNAcentral